This 740-nucleotide long non-coding RNA is filed under the name Phasianus colchicus (ring-necked pheasant). RNAcentral's name for it is "lncRNA (ENSPCLG00000003403.1)". Lineage: Eukaryota; Metazoa; Chordata; Aves; Galliformes; Phasianidae. The record is from RNAcentral.
GGUGACGGUCGCCCGGCGGCUCCGGGUCGCCGCUCCGCUUUCGCCCUCGGGGCCGCGCAGGCCGGCCGUCCCCCGGGCACGUGGCCCCGGCUCGUCGGGAAGCGGCGGAGCCCCGCGGUUCCCCGGCGGAAGGCGAGCGCCGUAGGUAGCCAAUACCCUUGGCUGUGUGAAUUUUGGCUGAGAUGGUGAGGAGUGCUGCCACCCAAGUAUGAUUCCACCGCCAACUCCAUCGAUGUUUCACGCUGAGAAUGGGUAAAUGUUUGCAGUAUAGCAAUAAUUCAAGGAAUAUAAAUUGAUGAAGAUAAAGGGUCACAAAGAAGUUGAGUAUGCUGCAAAUUGUCUGUUCAUCUGUGUCCUGCACUGCCUGGAUUACUUCAUACUGUUUACACAGCAAAACAAACUAUAUAACAUCCCAGGGGCUCAAUGCUGCUUCCACAGAAUACCGGAACAAGUUUACCGUAAGUGUACGCAUGUACGUUACUGAUGAUAUGCUGCAUGGGAACUGCUGAAUCACGGCCUGAACCUCUGAUUGACCACCUGAGGCGAGCAAAGAGUCAGCCCUGGGAGCACAAGUAGAGCCUGGCUCCACCUUUCCCAGACCCUAUUUAAGAGCUGAAGGCCACUGCAGAAGGAUCUCUUUUGGAAAUUGCUUCUCUUGGAGUCUUCUCAGUGAGCCCAGAAGAAAGGUAAGCUUUCCAUCCAUUCUUCUUUAGUGUGAUAAUCUGUUUAGCCUAACUUUC